RNAcentral lists this ribosomal RNA (740 nucleotides) under Microbacterium foliorum. Its description in RNAcentral is "bacterial SSU rRNA". It matches the Rfam family "Bacterial small subunit ribosomal RNA", at positions 71 to 823 of the family's 1533-position model. Lineage: Bacteria; Bacillati; Actinomycetota; Actinomycetes; Micrococcales; Microbacteriaceae. The record is from RNAcentral.
ACACGGAGCUUGCUCUGUGGGAUCAGUGGCGAACGGGUGAGUAACACGUGAGCAACCUGCCCCUGACUCUGGGAUAAGCGCUGGAAACGGCGUCUAAUACUGGAUACGAGUAGCGAUCGCAUGGUCAGCUACUGGAAAGAUUUAUUGGUUGGGGAUGGGCUCGCGGCCUAUCAGCUUGUUGGUGAGGUAAUGGCUCACCAAGGCGUCGACGGGUAGCCGGCCUGAGAGGGUGACCGGCCACACUGGGACUGAGACACGGCCCAGACUCCUACGGGAGGCAGCAGUGGGGAAUAUUGCACAAUGGGCGCAAGCCUGAUGCAGCAACGCCGCGUGAGGGAUGACGGCCUUCGGGUUGUAAACCUCUUUUAGCAGGGAAGAAGCGAAAGUGACGGUACCUGCAGAAAAAGCGCCGGCUAACUACGUGCCAGCAGCCGCGGUAAUACGUAGGGCGCAAGCGUUAUCCGGAAUUAUUGGGCGUAAAGAGCUCGUAGGCGGUUUGUCGCGUCUGCUGUGAAAUCCGGAGGCUCAACCUCCGGCCUGCAGUGGGUACGGGCAGACUAGAGUGCGGUAGGGGAGAUUGGAAUUCCUGGUGUAGCGGUGGAAUGCGCAGAUAUCAGGAGGAACACCGAUGGCGAAGGCAGAUCUCUGGGCCGUAACUGACGCUGAGGAGCGAAAGGGUGGGGAGCAAACAGGCUUAGAUACCCUGGUAGUCCACCCCGUAAACGUUGGGAACUAGUUGU